RNAcentral lists this ribosomal RNA (492 nucleotides) under uncultured bacterium. RNAcentral describes it as "partial 16S ribosomal RNA". It matches the Rfam family "Bacterial small subunit ribosomal RNA", at positions 29 to 507 of the family's 1533-position model. The record is from RNAcentral.
AGUGAACGCUGGCGGUAGGCCUAACACAUGCAAGUCGAACGGCAGCACAGUAAGAGCUUGCUCUUACGGGUGGCGAGUGGCGGACGGGUGAGGGAUACAUCGGAAUCUACUUUUUCGUGGGGGAUAACGUAGGGAAACUUACGCUAAUACCGCAUACGACCUACGGGUGAAAGCAGGGGAUCUUCGGACCUUGCGCGAUUGAAUGAGCCGAUGUCGGAUUAGCUAGUUGGCGGGGUAAAGGCCCACCAAGGCGACGAUCCGUAGCUGGUCUGAGAGGAUGAUCAGCCACACUGGAACUGAGACACGGUCCAGACUCCUACGGGAGGCAGCAGUGGGGAAUAUUGGACAAUGGGCGCAAGCCUGAUCCAGCCAUACCGCGUGGGUGAAGAAGGCCUUCGGGUUGUAAAGCCCUUUUGUUGGGAAAGAAAAGCAGCAGGUUAAUACCCCGCUGUUCUGGCGGUACCCAAAGAAUAAGCACCGGCUAACUUCGUG